RNAcentral lists this ribosomal RNA (485 nucleotides) under uncultured bacterium. RNAcentral's name for it is "SSU rRNA". It matches the Rfam family "Bacterial small subunit ribosomal RNA", at positions 26 to 521 of the family's 1533-position model. The record is from RNAcentral.
AGGAUAAACGCUGGCGGCGUGCCUAACACAUGCAAGUCGAACGCGCUUACUAUCCGCGAGGAGGGUGAGCGAGUGGCGGACGGGUGAGGAACACGUGGGUGACCUACCUUUCAGUGAGGGAUACCGGCGAGAAAUUGCCGACAAGACCGCAUACGCUUCUCUUUUCAAGGGGAGAAGGAAAGCUUUUCGCAAGAGAGGCGCUGGGAGAUGGGCCUGCGGCCGAUUAGCUAGCUGGUGGGGUAAUGGCCUACCAGGGCGACGAUCGGUAGCUGGUCUGAGAGGACGAUCAGCCACACUGGGAUUGAGAACGGCCCAGACUCCUACGGGGGGCAGCAGUGAGGAAUUUUCGGCAAUGGGGGCAACCCUGACCGAGCAACGCCGCGUGCAGGACGACGGCCUUCGGGUUGUAAACUGCUUUUCUCUGGGACGAGCAAGGACGGUACCAGAGGAAGAAGCCCGGCUAACUACGUGCCAGCAGCCGCGGU